RNAcentral lists this ribosomal RNA (492 nucleotides) under uncultured bacterium. RNAcentral's name for it is "partial 16S ribosomal RNA". It matches the Rfam family "Bacterial small subunit ribosomal RNA", at positions 29 to 507 of the family's 1533-position model. The record is from RNAcentral.
AGUGAACGCUGGCGGUAGGCCUAACACAUGCAAGUCGAACGGCAGCACAGUAAGAGCUUGCUCUUACGGGUGGCGAGUGGCGGACGGGUGAGGAAUACAUCGGAAUCUACUUUUUCGUGGGGGAUAACGUAGGGAAACUUACGCUAAUACCGCAUAUGACCUACGGGUGAAAGCAGGGGAUCUUCGGACCUUGCGCGAUUGAAUGAGCCGAUGUCGGAUUAGCUAGUUGGCGGGGUAAAGGCCCACCAAGGCGACGAUCCGUAGCUGGUCUGAGAGGAUGAUCAGCCACACUGGAACUGAGACACGGUCCAGACUCCUACGGGCGGCAGCAGUGGGGAAUAUUGGACAAUGGGCGCAAGCCUGAUCCAGCCAUACCGCGUGGGUGAAGAAGUCCUUCGGGUUGUAAAGCCCUUUUGUUGGGAAAGAAAAGCAGCAGGUUAAUACCCCGCUGUUCUGACGGUACCCAAAGAAUAAGCACCGGCUAACUUCGUG